CAUUGCUUCCCAACUUUAAUGUGGAAACCAGUUACCUGGGGAUCUAGUUAAAAUGUUCAUCUGACUCAGUAGGUCUGCAGUGGGGCCUGAGAGUCUGUAUGUCUAACAAGCUCCCAGGUGAUGCAGCUGUUCUUCAGACUGCAUAUUGACUAACAAGGCUCUAAGAGACAGAUUCUAGCCAAGGGAGAAUGGAAAAUUCACUGUGUCACUUGUUAAUGACCUUCCAAUCUUCUAAGAAUCUGUAGCUCACAGAAUGGCUGGUAGCACCCACCAGGAUCUGGGACAUUCAGCCUGAGAAAUAAAAAACUCAUCAGGAUCUGUGAAAGACAUGAAGACAGAAAUAGUACUAGAAGAAAGAAAAUGCUUAGAAGUCAUAUGCAGCAAUAAAGAACUUGGCUUGAGAGGUCAUUCCAAGAUGGUCGAAUAGGAACAGCUCCCAUCUGCAGCUCCCAGCGUGAUCGAUGCAGAAAACGGGAGGUCUGACUUCAGUGAAGAUCCAAAGGCAGAGGCCCCACAGGAGUCCUUCUGCUCCCUGGAGACAAACUAGACUGUAACCUCCAUGCAGGUAUGGAUUAUUUGCCUGCUGUGUUUAUUCUUAGCUCCAACUCCAGCACCCAGAAGAAUAUCUGACACACAGUAAGUCCUCAAUACGUGUUUAUGAAAGAAACAGUGAUUGGAAAAAAUAAAUCCAGAGAUCCCCCCAAAACUGAUCUGUUCAUAAGACGGGAGCUCCCUGGAAAGGAAUAUGGUCAUUUUAAGACUAAAACUAAUGGCAGGAUUAGAAGAGCAUCACAAAAUGAGCAUUUGUUACCUCUAAGGCUCAUGCUAGCAUAUGAAUUAUUAUACCUUGCUACUGGAAAUCAUGUAUGCUAGAUACAGUACAAAAAAUGACCACUCCCACUAAUUUUUAUCUCAGCUAGAUGUGAAAAUUAAACAAAAUGAAAACACAAUUCAAAGGUGCAAAAAGCAUUUGGUAUACUUAUAUCUGUUGCUAAAAUAAUUGCUAUUGCAAUUUUGAAGCUUAUUUACAUCUGCCAGGUAUUUGCAAAAAGACAAUUUUUUUUUUUUUUGCAAAGAACUAGACCUUUGCUGUGCUCGUUUCAAACUCUUAGCCUUCAAAAUUCUGAUUUAUGUCCUGAAGGCUGAUUCAGCUGACCUAAUCUAUGUACCUGAAAACCUGAAGAUGUUCCACAGUUUGCUUUCCCUAAAGGCUCACAUUUAUUUCUGUGGGUAUGGGAAUGAAAGAGACCAUAAAUAGAAACCCAGAAACACCACUGCUUCUUUGAUCUAUAGAAAUAAGGGAGGUAGCUUUGGUAAACAAAGGUCAUGGGCUGUCUAUGGCCAACACUCUCCCCAAAUGUGAAACCUCCAGUUCCAAUCAAAUCCUUUAACAGGAUGGUUGAGAAAUGGAAGCUGUAGAAUGAACAAGUUAAAAUCCGGUAACUAAAGCCCUGGAGCUCUGCCUAAAUUUCAGCAUAACUUACUGCUACAAGCCUGGCAAAAUAUACUCAAUAAACAUGCUCCUUUAUUGAUAGGGUACUCCUGCUUCACCUUGUAUGGUAAUUGAACUUCUCACAGAAUUUUUAUCUCUAUCAUAUAUUUUUAUUCCCAUAAAAUGUGAGUUUGGUCAAUAAAUGUAUGUCCUUGAAUAAGUUUUUAACCCCCUGUUUCUUCAUCUAUAAAAUGGAGAAACUUUAAAAAAAAUUGCUUUAUGGUUGUUAGGAGGAUUAAAUAAGGUAAUGAAUAUAAAAGGCCUGCCACAUAGCAAAUGUGCAAUGAAUGUUGGCCAAUAUUGUUUUUAAAUUUUUAAUAUAAUAAAUCUUAUACAAGCACAUGGUGAAUCUGCCAAAUAGUAAAAAAUGUCAUUGAAUGAAAAGUGAACCUCCUCCCACUGGGAACUCUUGAAACUAUACCCCAGGCAUAGUUAUAAAACCAGUUUCUUACAUGAUUGUUAUUGUAUUUGAAUUUUUAAAGUUUAUUAGUAUGUUGGAAUGGGGGUUAGAGGAUUGAAAAUCUUCUGGCUAUCAGGUUUACUGGCUAUGGUUAUUUUAGGCAAGACUAUUUGGUUAAUGCUAUAUCUGAAUCUCCUAUACUGUAAGACACACCUCCUAUACAAACACUAGUAAAAUAAAGGAAAAAGAUUGGCCUUUACUUUGUUUUUUUUUUUUUCCUUCCCAUUAAGGAAACAGUGAGUUGAGUAAAAUGCUGAUAAGUGAGGAAAGAUAUACAAGAGAUAUGGAUGAACCAAAAUUGGGAAUGUACUGAACCCAUAGGGCUUAUUUACCACAUUAACGAGCUUAAACAGGAAAAAUUGGGUGUACUGGGAUUCCAGCCAGGUUUGGACAAAUUGGAUACUAUUGUAGUAAGAGUAAGACAAACACAUUUUUUGUACGUGUGAUAAGAGGACAAUAAUUAGUGAGCAUGUAAAACUUUCUCUCUAGGUCAGAACCUCUUAAAUCAUGGCACAUUUUGGAUGGAAAUGGGGAGGUUUUCAGAUUGGCAUUUGCAUAGUGUAUGAGGUUAAAAAAAAAAAGACAAUCAGAAACCAAAAAACAAAGCAACUCCCAUUCUCAAGAUAAGUAAAGUGGGACCCAAGGAAUUUAGGUGACUUUGUCAAUGUUAUUUAAUGGUAGUGCUGCUAAUGAAACCAAGGUCUCUUUGCUUGCUUUAUAAGGCAACAUUGCUUCAUCUAAUUUCAACCUGAACAGCAAUCUGGAUGAAUGAUGUCAUUGUAAGGUCAAAGCAAUUUUAUUUACUAAAAGUCUUAAUAAAGACUGGCACUGAUUCAAUAUAGCCAUGUUUUCUCUUUGCUGUGUCUUGGCUCCGCUUAGAUGGUAAACUUCUUGAGGGCAGACUAUGUCCUACUUUUCUUCUAACUACCUGAAACACCUAACAUGUUGCUGUUGAUAUAAUGGUUAUUUUAUAAAUAUUUGAUGAUAACUGCUUAUAUGCAGCAGCAUAGAUAGUGUAUAUGGAGUGUCUAUGGGGUUUGGCUAAUACCAGCUAGGAUUAAUAUGGCCCAUGGAAAUUCAUUGUAUAGUAUAAUUGGAAAAAUGAAAACAUCCCAUAAGGAAUAUUGAUGGUCAAAGUCACUGUUUUGACUUUAAACAUAGGAAGGGAAAAGAGCAUUAUGGCUGGACUAGCAUGCAAUGAUGUGGCUUUAAGGCCCUUAGCACAGUGCUCACAGCCCGUUAAUCAAUGGCACUGUGCUUAUUGUCAAUGUGAGUCUACUGUAUCAUAUGGUGCAGUAAGCAAAUUAAAACCCGAGGGGGAAAAAUGAAGAAUGAUUUCUUUUAAACUCUUCCCUCAUUGCUCUCUUUCUCUAGUGGCUCUUCCCUAAUAGAAAGCAGCACUCCCUACUCCCUGCCCCUACUUGGUGACCACUUGUUGGUGACAAAUGGUAAAUGAUGUGGUGACAUUUGUGGCUUGAGGUAUUCUCCAACACUGCAAAAUGGUACCUAUUUAAAGAUAACUGUAGCAUCAAUACUUAAUGAAACUCUAUUGUCUUUGAAAAUGAGUGAAGUGUCCCUUUUCUUGCGUUGAAACAAAACAUAUUUUAGGAAAUACCUUGUCCUUUACAAGGGUCAGCCCCAGUUCUCCACAAGUCUCCACCUUUAUUUAUGACUAUGCCCCACAAAGCCCUCUCCUCUUUAGUCAAGCAAGUCUUGCCAUUCAAUCAUUAGUGCUUACCAUGUGCUAAGGAUAUGAAGAAAUAUGGAAGGAUACAAAGAUGAUUAAGACAUGGCUUAGUGCUGGAAAAAUGCAGCUGAACUUUCAGUUCAUUAGCCAUGAGUAAUUAAGCCUUAGACUCUUGUUGUCCAUUAACAAAACUGUUUGAUGCAGCUGUCACUGUCUCCUUUUCAUUGUUUCCAUCGUUUCCUCUUUUUUUCUGAUUAUCAUUUCCUGCCUGGCUUCUUUAAGUAUUCAUUGAAAACUUACCAUCUAUCAGGCCCUAUUCUAGCACCUGGUUGAUACCUUAAUAAACUGAACAGAUCAAAAUCCCUGUCCUUAGGGAGCUUACAUUCUACGUGGGGAGACACAGUAAAUAAUAUACAAAUAAUAACAUGGUGAAUGUUACUAAGUCCAUGGAGAAAACAAAUAGAAGAAGUGGGUGGGGUGGUGAGGAGUUCCCAGUAGGAGGUGGGGACUGUAAUUCUGAAUAUGAUGAUCAGGAAGGUCUCACUAAGACAUCUUUGAGCAGACACAUAGAGGAGAUGACGGAUGAGCCAUGUGGAUAACCGAGGGAUACCGUGUAGACAGAGGGAGCAGCAAGUACAGAGGCCCUGAGGCAAAAGCAAACAAUAUAUCUUUGUGGUAGCUACUGAGUCAUAAUUUAAAAAAAAUAAACUUUGUAUGUUGGAAUGAUUUUAGAUUUAGAGAAAAGCUGCAAAGAUAGUACAAAGAUUUCCCGUAUACCCUUCACCCAGCUUCCACUAAUGUUGAUACAUAAUUGUGGUACAUUUGUCAAAACUAAGAAAUUAAUAUUGUGAACCACAAUUUUGGGGCUAAGAAAACUGAAAUCAUUACAAUUUAUUUUAUUCACCCAAAGUUACGACAGCAAGUUAGUGGCAGAGUGAGUAUCACAACUAAGGAAUCCUAUCAGUUCCAUCUUUUAAACAAAAAUCUCACUGAUGGGAAUAUUUCCAAAUAUUUAUUUUUAAAAUCCUUUUUUUUUCCAGACUCUGGGUUUCUUUUAAAAAGCUGUUACUUUCAAGCAUAUCUUGAAAUAAUUACCUUUGCUUUGAAGGGGCAGGUCAUAUUUGUUUAUUUAAAAAAUUAUCUGCCAGAUGGCAUUACUAUUGGAAGACAAUCAUCACAGAAAAGGUCUACACAUUGGCACAUCUGUUUAUUUGUAAACUAGCUCAGUGUCACGACGUAGCUAGUAAAAAUCUGUGUGGUUUAACAGAUUCCCAUGGCUUCCCCUUCCCCAAACCCUGGUUCUUCUUGAUUAGGAGUAAACGAAUGUUACUGCUGCACCCCCAAACUUUCCUAUUCAGACUCAUGAACUCAUCCAAUAAAUGUUCAUUAAGCAACUACUAUACGUCAGGUACUGCCAAGGACUUGAUAUUGUUCUAGUGGAGAAAACUGGUAGAGAAUGCACUGAUUGCAGUACAGGGAAGCACAUGGUAUGAGGGAAGCAUGCACAGCAAGGAACUCAGUAUGGAAAGGUGGAUGAAGGCUUCCCAAAGGAGAUCUCUCUUGAGCUGGACGACUUGAAAUUAGCCAGAUUGGGAAAGGGGUGAACCAAACACCUCUCACAGAGGGAUCAGCAUGUUCAAAAUUACAAAGGCAAUAUAUCUGAAACAGGGCAACAUAUCUGAAACAUAUAUGAAACAACAGGGCAAUCUAUCUGGGAAACUGUACAGCAGAGAGUGUGUUUGGAGUGUUAGAAAUGGGUAAAACAGGGCUACUGGAGUGUUAGAAGCGGGUAAAACAGGGCUACUCAAAGUGUGAUCCUUGGACCAGCAGCACUGGCAUCACCUUUGAGCUAGUUAGAUAUGUAAAUGCAAGGGCCCCACCUGGACCUACUGAAUCUGAAUCUAUGGGGAUGAGACCCAGGAAACUGUUUAUUUAUUUUAUUUUAUUUUUUUUUCUCGCUGUGUCACGCAGGCUGAAGUGCAGUGGUGCG
This 5629-nucleotide long non-coding RNA is filed under the name Homo sapiens (human). Its description in RNAcentral is "HSALNT0320309". The record is from RNAcentral. Lineage: Eukaryota; Metazoa; Chordata; Mammalia; Primates; Hominidae.